CCCUUAGAUGUUCUGGGCCGCACGCGCGCUACACUGAAUGGAUCAACGUGUUUUCCCUUCCCGAGAGGGACGGGUAACCCGCUGAACCCCAUUCGUGGUAGGGAUCGGAGCUUGCAAUUGUUCUCCGUGAACCAGGAAUUCCCAGUAAGCGCAAGUCAUAAGCUUGCGUUGAUUACGUCCCUGCCCUUUGUACACACCGCCCGUCGCUCCUACAGAUUGAGCAGUCCGGUGAAUACUUCGGACCGUUUGCAUAGAUGGUUCGCCAUCUUUGCGAAUGGAAAGUCGAGUGAACCUUACUGCUUAGAUGAAGGAGAAGUCGUAACA
This 324-nucleotide ribosomal RNA is filed under the name uncultured eukaryote. RNAcentral describes it as "partial 18S ribosomal RNA". It matches the Rfam family "Eukaryotic small subunit ribosomal RNA", at positions 1470 to 1796 of the family's 1831-position model. The record is from RNAcentral.